GGUGAGAUGGCCGAGCGGUCUAAGGCGCCAGCUUAAGGCGGACUUGAAGUUUGAUUUCGCUGGUCCGAAAGGGCAGGGGUUCGAAUCCCCUUCUCAUCA
Molecule: non-coding RNA, 99 nt
Organism: Mycena vulgaris
Lineage: Eukaryota; Fungi; Basidiomycota; Agaricomycetes; Agaricales; Mycenaceae
Source: the annotation of a GenBank genome assembly